GAGCUCAGUCUGUAGAUCAUGAGACUAUUAAUCUCAGGGUCAUGAGUUUGAGCCCCACAUUGGGCA
This is a non-coding RNA of Podarcis lilfordi (Lilford's wall lizard), 66 nucleotides long. NCBI's taxonomy places the organism in Eukaryota, Metazoa, Chordata, Lepidosauria, Squamata, Lacertidae. The record is from the annotation of a GenBank genome assembly.